This 253-nucleotide ribosomal RNA is filed under the name uncultured bacterium. RNAcentral describes it as "partial 16S ribosomal RNA". It matches the Rfam family "Bacterial small subunit ribosomal RNA", at positions 524 to 776 of the family's 1533-position model. The record is from RNAcentral.
GACAGAGGGUGCAAACGUUGCUCGGAAUUACUGGGCGUAAAGCGCGUGUAGGCGGACCACCAAGUCGGACGUGAAAGCCCUGAGCUCAACUCAGGAACUGCAUCCGAAACUGGCGGUCUGGAGUAGUGGAGAGGAAAGCAGAAUUCCUGGUGUAGAGGUGAAAUUCGUAGAUAGCAGGAGGAACACCGGUGGCGAAGGCGGCUUUCUGGACACUUACUGACGCUGAGACGCGAAAGCGUGGGGAGCAAGCAGG